CACGUAGGGCGCAAGCGUUGUCCGGAAUUAUUGGGCGUAAAGAGCUCGUAGGCGGCUUGUCGCGUCGUCCGUGAAAACCCACAGCUCAACUGUGGGCUUGCGGUCGAUACGGGCAGGCUAGAGUUCGGUAGGGGAGACUGGAAUUCCUGGUGUAGCGGUGAAAUGCGCAGAUAUCAGGAGGAACACCGGUGGCGAAGGCGGGUCUCUGGGCCGAAACUGACGCUGAGGUGCGAAAGCUAGGGUAGCAAACGGG
RNAcentral lists this ribosomal RNA (253 nucleotides) under uncultured bacterium. Its description in RNAcentral is "partial 16S ribosomal RNA". It matches the Rfam family "Bacterial small subunit ribosomal RNA", at positions 524 to 776 of the family's 1533-position model. The record is from RNAcentral.